RNAcentral lists this ribosomal RNA (377 nucleotides) under uncultured bacterium. RNAcentral's name for it is "bacterial SSU rRNA". It matches the Rfam family "Bacterial small subunit ribosomal RNA", at positions 523 to 898 of the family's 1533-position model. The record is from RNAcentral.
AUACGUAGGUGGCAAGCGUUGUCCGGAAUUACUGGGCGUAAAGGGUGCGCAGGCGGACAUUUAAGUGAGAUGUGUAAGACCCGGGCUUAACUUGGGCAGUGCAUUUCAAACUGGAUGUCUGGAGUGCAGGAGAGGAGAACGGAAUUCCUAGUGUAGCGGUGAAAUGCGUAGAGAUUAGGAAGAACACCAGUGGCGAAGGCGGUUCUCUGGACUGUAACUGACGCUGAGGCACGAAAGCGUGGGUAGCAAACAGGAUUAGAUACCCUGGUAGUCCACGCCGUAAACGAUGAGUACUAGGUGUAGGAGGUAUCGACCCCUUCUGUGCCGCAGUAAACACAAUAAGUACUCCGCCUGGGAAGUACGAUCGCAAGAUUAAA